Molecule: ribosomal RNA, 376 nt
Filed under: uncultured fungus
Lineage: Eukaryota; Fungi
Description: eukaryotic LSU rRNA
Rfam family: Eukaryotic large subunit ribosomal RNA
Source: RNAcentral
CGAAGAGUCGGGUUGUUUGGGAAUGCAGCUCAAAAUGGGUNGUAAAUUCCAUCUAAGGCUAAAUAUUGACGAGAGACCGAUAGCGAACAAGUAGAGUGAUCGAAAGAUGAAAAGUACUUUGAAAAGAGAGUGAAACAGUACGUGAAAUUGUUGAAAGGGAAGCGUUUGGCAUCAGCCCAUGGCUUUCGUCGAUCAUUCGGGCUUCUGCCCGAUGCACUCGACGGAUGUCGGGCCAGCGUCGGCUCUCCUUGCCGGAGAAAGGUCUUGGGGACGUGUCUCCCUUCGGGGUGAGUUAUAACCCUUGAUGUCAUACGGCGAGGUGGGGCCGAGGUCUGCGGUUUAUCCAAGGACGCUGGCGUAANGGUUCCAAGCGACC